ACCGGCGGAGGACAUUG
Molecule: ribosomal RNA, 17 nt
Filed under: Eucalyptus conglobata subsp. conglobata
Lineage: Eukaryota; Viridiplantae; Streptophyta; Magnoliopsida; Myrtales; Myrtaceae
Description: partial 18S ribosomal RNA
Source: RNAcentral